AGGACUGCCUGAUGGAGGGGGGUAACUACUGGAAACGGUAGCUAAUACCGCAUAACGUCGCAAGACCAAAGAGGGGGACCUUCGGGCCUCUUGCCAUCGGAUGUGCCCAGAUGGGAUUAGCUAGUAGGUGGGGUAACGGCUCACCUAGGCGACGAUCCCUAGCUGGUCUGAGAGGAUGACCAGCCACACUGGAACUGAGACACGGUCCAG
This 210-nucleotide ribosomal RNA is filed under the name uncultured bacterium. RNAcentral describes it as "partial 16S ribosomal RNA". It matches the Rfam family "Bacterial small subunit ribosomal RNA", at positions 122 to 334 of the family's 1533-position model. The record is from RNAcentral.